GACGUAGAAUGUAUUGAAAAGGUCAAGGUCAACCAUAAAAAGCUCGAAAACACACUAAAAAUCCUUUAUAUAAGGUUAAAAACACUAAAUUCGCACUCUGGGACAUGACCUUGACCUUUGACCUUUUGACCUUUGGCAAGGUCAUUAAUCCCCAAUGCCAUUACUGAAGACCCCAAGGGUCUAGGACCUUUGGUUAUAUAAUAAAAGCUGAUUUUGUGUUUUCAGAAACCUAAAACAGGCUUUAUGCCCCUUAAAAAAAGGUCAAAUCUCUUCGGUCAAAAUGUAACAAAAAUGCACGGUAAUGACCCAAACAUUUUCCACUAUUUAAAACUUCUGUAAGUAUAAUGGUUGCUGAGAUUAUUCCAUAACAAGGUGUAAGGUCAAAGGUCAAGGUCAACAUACAAAUUUGACCUUGAGAUAUUUUUCGAAGAUACAUGAAUUGAUGAUGAAUGGUGAAGAUCCUAGGUCUCUACGACUUACGGUU
RNAcentral lists this long non-coding RNA (484 nucleotides) under Mytilus galloprovincialis (Mediterranean mussel). Lineage: Eukaryota; Metazoa; Mollusca; Bivalvia; Mytilida; Mytilidae. The record is from RNAcentral.